GAUGAACGCUGGCGGCGUGCCUAAUACAUGCAAGUCGAGCGAACGGACGAGAAGCUUGCUUCUCUGAUGUUAGCGGCGGACGGGUGAGUAACACGUGGAUAACCUACCUAUAAGACUGGGAUAACUUCGGGAAACCGGAGCUAAUACCGGAUAAUAUUUUGAACCGCAUGGUUCAAAAGUGAAAGACGGUCUUGCUGUCACUUAUAGAUGGAUCCGCGCUGCAUUAGCUAGUUGGUAAGGUAACGGCUUACCAAGGCAACGAUGCAUAGCCGACCUGAGAGGGGGAUCGGCCGCACUGGAACUGAGACACGGUCCAGACUCCUACGGGAGGCAGCAGUAGGGAAUCUUCCGCAAUGGGCGAAAGCCUGACGGAGCAACGCCGCGUGAGUGAUGAAGGUCUUCGGAUCGUAAAACUCUGUUAUUAGGGAAGAACAUAUGUGUAAGUAACUGUGCACAUCUUGACGGUACCUAAUCAGAAAGCCACGGCUAACUACGUG
RNAcentral lists this ribosomal RNA (497 nucleotides) under uncultured bacterium. RNAcentral describes it as "partial 16S ribosomal RNA". It matches the Rfam family "Bacterial small subunit ribosomal RNA", at positions 28 to 507 of the family's 1533-position model. The record is from RNAcentral.